GAACAUCUUGCUUUUACUUGCGGUAGCAGCCUACGCAAUUUUUCUUCGAACCAAACCUCCGAAGUUAAAACCAACAUAAGCAUAAAGCAGGCUGCUCUCGAACCAUUGCCAUCGCGAGGAACGUUCCCGAAUAUUUAGUAUUCGCUUAUCUCAAUAUAAAAACAAUAGGAACUACGAUACUAUAUCAAAAUGGUGCAAGAAAGAUUAUCCUCAUCUCUUGCCAAGGGAGCUACUUUCCAGAACUCAUCAAAAAAAGAAAAGGAGACAAUAGCUGCGAGCGUUGCUUCUCGAUCAAAUAUCAACAAAGCUACGGGUGGAAAAUACGGUGCCUGGGGUCCUGUUUACAAGAACAAACAGAACUUUAUAGACAUGCAUAAUAGUUAGAAAAAGUUUAAAAGAUCAAGCAACAAUUACUUAUUUUUUUGUCUCUUUAAAGCAUUUAUAUUUUGUAUAAUUCAACCACAGUUCAAUUUGCUCGUCAAGUAUUUCGGGGCUUAUGGGAAUUUUUCAAGCACACAACGAAGCAUAAAAUGGCUAAAAUUUUCGUCUUUCCUAAUGAUGGCUUCGCCGGAAUAAUUGAAAGACGAAAAUGAAGGAUUAGCUGGAACGUUCAUUUGUUAUGUUCAGUUUCAUAGCAAGCGCGUCAAUGGCAAUGGUUCGCAGAAAAUUAUUAAAACAACUCUAUUGCUUUAUAUUAUUAAAACUUACUAAUAUCAGUGAUAAAAGUUGUGGUUUUUCUUCUACUAACACAAGCUUUUCCAAUGCAUAUAAACAAUGUAUGGUUUUAUACGCAAAUAUACAUGAAUAAUUAACUUUGA
Phymastichus coffea is the source of this 818-nucleotide long non-coding RNA. RefSeq lists it as uncharacterized. Lineage: Eukaryota; Metazoa; Arthropoda; Insecta; Hymenoptera; Eulophidae. The transcript has 2 exons. The record is from RefSeq and is a predicted model, not a curated record.